GACGAACGCUGGCGGCGUGCCUAAUACAUGCAAGUCGAACGCUUCUUUUCCUCCCGAGUGCUUGCACUCAAUUGGAAAGAGGAGUGGCGGACGGGUGAGUAACACGUGGGUAACCUACCCAUCAGAGGGGGAUAACACUUGGAAACAGGUGCUAAUACCGCAUAACAGUUUAUGCCGCAUGGCAUAAGAGUGAAAGGCGCUUUUCGGGUGUCGCUGAUGGAUGGACCCGCGGUGCAUUAGCUAGUUGGUGAGGUAAACGGCUCACCAAAGGCCACGAUGCAUAGCCGACCUGAGAGGGUGAUCGGCCACACUGGGACUGAGACACGGCCCAGACUCCUACGGGAGGCAGCCAGUAGGGAAUUCUUUCGGCA
Molecule: ribosomal RNA, 371 nt
Filed under: Enterococcus faecalis
Lineage: Bacteria; Bacillati; Bacillota; Bacilli; Lactobacillales; Enterococcaceae
Description: bacterial SSU rRNA
Rfam family: Bacterial small subunit ribosomal RNA
Source: RNAcentral